This 580-nucleotide ribosomal RNA is filed under the name Fragosphaeria reniformis. RNAcentral's name for it is "eukaryotic LSU rRNA". It matches the Rfam family "Eukaryotic large subunit ribosomal RNA", at positions 54 to 656 of the family's 3401-position model. The record is from RNAcentral. Lineage: Eukaryota; Fungi; Ascomycota; Sordariomycetes; Ophiostomatales; Ophiostomataceae.
AGGAAAAGAAACCAACAGGGAUUGCCCCAGUAACGGCGAGUGAAGCGGCAACAGCUCAAAUUUGAAAUCUGGCCCCCCGGGCCCGAGUUGUAAUUUGGAGAGGAUGCUUCUGGCGCGGCGCCUUCCGAGUGCCUUGGAACAGGCCGCCAUAGAGGGUGAGAGCCCCGUACGGUUGGACGCCAAGCCGGUUCGAAGCUCCUUCGACGAGUCGAGUAGUUUGGGAAUGCUGCUCAAAAUGGGAGGUAAAUUUCUUCUAAAGCUAAAUACCGGCCAGAGACCGAUAGCGCACAAGUAGAGUGAUCGAAAGAUGAAAAGCACUUUGAAAAGAGGGUUAAACAGUACGUGAAAUUGUUGAAAGGGAAGCGCCCGGGGCCAGACUUGCACCCCGCGGACCACCCGGCGUUCCGCGCCGGUGCACUCCGCGGGGCGCAGGCCAGCAUCGGUUCUUCCAGGGGGAGAAAGGCCGCGGGAACGUAGCUCCUCCGGGAGUGUUAUAGCCCGCGGCGCCAUGCCCCUGGGGGGACCGAGGACCGCGCUUCGGCAAGGAUGCUGGCGUAAUGGCCCCCGGCGACCCGUCUUG